UUCGGUGAUUCGGAAUAGGAUGUCAAAUUGGAUUUUCCGGAGUAUAUCCAGUUGAUUUGUUCGAGUGAAAGGUUUAUGGUUGUAUAGUAAAAGAUUGAAAAAUUUAUACUUACAGACACAUUCUCACUUUUCAUUUACACAUAAAGACACUUUCUGCAUGACACACAUUUUUUUUAGAUGGUUUGUCAUUUCUACCCUCAACUAAGCUACCAAAAUACAUUUCUAUUUUCCUAACUAAACACAAAUUGUCCGGUUACCAAACAAAUAAAGUAAAAAUAUACAAAAAGAUUUAUUCUCUCUCCUCUUUCGAUUUACGAUUGACUUUCAAAAUCACUUUCCCAAUUUUAUGAACCCUAAUCGUGACAAUUUCUUUUCUUCCUCUCCUUCCUCUCUAUGCGCUCUAUUGACGUCACUGGUAACGGAGGCGUCGUCGCCGUCAGGAUCUGUUCUCUCGAAUCCUAUCUUCAUCAACAAGCUCUUCUUACCUCUCGUUCCAUCUCUCAGCCAUGGAGUUACCAAAUCUCGUUCGUCGAAUCAAAAGUGACGUCUCCAAAGUCACUGAACUCACCUCCAUCAAACCCUUUGAGCUCCUCCGUGGAUACUGAAGCCAGUUUGGGAUGUGUUUUCACUCAUGAAAACAGAGGAGAAGAGACAAAAGUUCACAAACUCUAGAAUUUUUUGUAAGUAAAUCCGGAGAGAUGUUGCAUCCACAUAUUAAAACAGAUAUUGUGUUGCUUUGUUCUAAGGACACAACAACUCUGCAGAUGUCCGUUCAUACUUUUUUGUAUCAAUGUCCACAAAUUUAGUCAUACUGACUAAGGAAAGAAAAACCAUUAAAAGCUUUGUUGGACAAAGUUAUAACCUCCAACCUCUUAAAACAAGUUCUCAACUACGAACACAAACAAUUUUUGUGUUUGAGUUUUUCAAAGUUUUUCACAUUUUUUAUCCAUCAAUGUCCACAUCUUUUUUUUGUUUAUAUAUUUUUCCUAUAUGUUUAGAUUUUUCUCAUCCACACUUUUUAUGUCCAUGCAUUUAUUUAUAUAUAUUCUAAAAUAUAUAAAAAAUAUGUAUGAAAAUAGAUCUUAAAAUAUAGAAAAAAAGAAAAUAUAAUUUAUUGUAACAAUUAUAUUUGUUUUGUGUAUCGUAAAAUCUGAGAAAAAUCAAAUCAAAAAUAGAUAAGGAAAUGAAUAAUAAUAAAAAUAUAAAGCAAUGGUCGUAAAUUGACACUUUAUCCUGUACAUCAACGUUAAUAAUUUCAGACGCCUAACUAGAUAGAAAACUCCAGAUGUCUAACUAAACAAAAUAAAACAAUUACACUCAUUUGUUUUCUGUCGCUGAGAAAAUGGUAUUCAUGUCAAAAAGACAUCUA
This is a long non-coding RNA of Brassica rapa (field mustard), 1369 nucleotides long. RefSeq lists it as uncharacterized. The record is from RefSeq and is a predicted model, not a curated record. Lineage: Eukaryota; Viridiplantae; Streptophyta; Magnoliopsida; Brassicales; Brassicaceae.